CCCGCCCGCAGCCUGCCGCCGGGGCGCUCCCGGGGCUGCGGGUCCAGGGCACCAAGAGCCCGGUGAUCCCAGGCGAUGGGGGGAGAUCGCCGCUGACCCGGAAGAAGCUGGGCUGGCUCCAAGGAGGGCGGGAUGGAUGACAAAGAAAGGGCCCCCACGUUCAAUCGGGCCUUCCCGGGAAGAGAAGCUCUUCGGAAACACACCGAUCCAGGAUGUCACUGAGGUGUGUCUCUACCCCCCACCCCCACCCCACCACCCGGGCGCCUACAGCCCUUGUGUGCACGUCGGCGUGCGGGGCGUUGUAUUCCUCGGAGCCUGUGUGCGCUUACGCUAUGUGCGUGCGCGGCUAUGCACAAUGAAUCACAGACGCCAGACAUGGAAACACCUGUUACUGUUGGUCACCAGGCUGGGCGGGCACGUGGUUCCUGUUUCCAUCACUAGACAGUUCCGCAUCCUUCCCUGGCGGGAGGACUCCAUUGCUUCCCUCUUUCACUCACUCCUGACCUCAGCUGUCUGCUGGACCCUGGCUAAGGCACCAAGAUAAGGCAUUGGGAUCUUUAAGGGUUGCUCUCUGCCUUCUAGAGUGGACUGAAGACCUGCUGUGGAUUGAAACCCAGCGGCUCCUCAAAAAGCCCCCAGGUCUGUCCUGUGGCAUCUGCAGUGCCUGGUGGGGACUACUGAGGCUUCUGGCCAGGUGGACUGAAUAGCCACCAGGUUCCUUGAUUCCCGAGCCUGCAACUGCUAUUGGACUACCACACCUUUUCAGGAUGGACUGAGGCUUUUACCAGCCGAGAAUGAAAAUGUCACAACUGUGGCCAAGAAACUAUUAGAUGACAUCAUUCCAAGUUAUGGUUUACCCGUUCUUUUGGGGUCAGACAACAGACCAACCUUCAUCUCACAGGUGCAAGAAUGUCUCUGGCCCCAACUGUGGGCCACCUAUGAAAAGAUACCUCCACCUACGCCCCACAGGUUCAUACCAGGAGACCUAGUACUUGUCAAAAGACGCUGGAUAGAGACUCUUGAACCGUGAUCCUGACCACUCCAACAGCCAUCAAGGUAGAGGGCAUCCCAGCCUGAAGACAUCACUCACACCUGAAGAGGAGCCAAGACUGUGGCGAGCUGUUGCCCACACACAAGGUCCACUCAAGCUGAGGAUCCAAAAACUUUUACCUUCCACACCUUCCGCCGUGCCCUAGAGACUAAAAGAUGAAAAACAUUAUCCACCUGACCCUUGUGAUAGCCCUGCUUGGGGUUCAGACCGCAUCAGACACUAACCCUCACCAAGCUGUUGCUACCAAAUGGAUACUUCGGGGCCCUAAGACUUCUCCACGAGACCUAGGGAGAGAAGUGCAGACUUUGAUGUUAACCGGUCCAGAGAAUAUUACUUUUCCCAUCUUCCGCCUUGAUCUUUGUGCCCUGGCCGGUUACAUAUGGAGACGUCCAAGUCCAAAGGAUGGAAAUUGCAGGUCCUAUCAAGACCUACAAAACACCGUGGCAACCUGCGGAGAUGACUGCCAGCAACAAAAACUUGCAACUGUGCACUUUUAUGUUUGCCCAGCGACAAAUGACUAUGGGACUUGUGGGGGAACGGAAAGUUUCUUUUGCUAUAAAUGGGGAUGUGAGACCAACGCCCCCUGGGUAAAGAAUAAUCAGGAUCUUAUCCAGAUAAGUAGAGCAAAAAACCAGACAUCACUGGGAAAGAGAAACCCCAUCUCCAUCUCAUUGACAGAAAAGGGACAAACUAGCAGAGGAUGGGAAGCUGGAAAAAUUUGGGGCCUAAGGUUAUAUGUGUCAGGAUGGGACAGGGGGCUCCUCUUUCAGAUCCAGAAACAGGCUGUCCUGGCAGGGACCCCCCUACAGCUAUAGGGCCAGCAGCUCCGGCUUUGUCCAUUUUAAAACCUGUGGCCCUGGUCCUAGUUUCAAUCACCUCCUCCCCCAUGGACCCAAUCACCCCCUGGUUAAUCACACUCCCACCCUGAUUUGUCCCAUUUUAUUUGGGUUACUUAAUUUCCCCUUUAAUUUCCUCAGUUCCACUACUGACUUCACCAGAGAAGACUGCUGGCUCUGCUUAGACCCCAGAACCCCAUACUGUACUGGCUGAGCUACCACAGGAAAUUUGUCAACUCCUUCAGAAAACCCACCGAGAUGCUCUUGGGGAAGGUCCCCGGUUCUUACCCUUCAAGUUGUAAUUGGACAAGGGCUAUGUGUGACAGGAACAGGGGAAAACUAGAUAGCGUCCCUCACCUUAAGCAUCUCUGUAAUACUAUCACCACAAAUGCUGGCACAUCCCCCUAGUGCCCCCUAAAGGAACCUGGUUGGCAUGCACCACGGGCUUAACCCCUUUCAUCCACCCACUGUUACUUCAGAAUUCCAGUAUGUGUGUUCUAGUCACACUGUUCCCUCCGGUUUAUUGCCUUCCCUUCAGCUUCUAUAUGGAGACAGUCCCAGACCACCACAGAGAAAAGCGAGAUUUUGGGGCCUCAGCAAUCAUUCUCAUGGUGUUGGUUGGGUCUGGCAUAGCUGCAGGAAUUGGCCCUGGUACAACAGCCUUAAUUAGGUCGAAUCAGACUUAUCAGGCUCUAAGUAACCUUAUAGACUCGGAUCUCGCUCAGCUAUAGAAGUCUGUCCAUCACCUAGAGCGGUCACUGGACUCACUAGCUGAAGUACUGCAAAAUAGAAGGGGAUUAGACUGCUCUUUCCACAGCAAGGAGGGCUUUGCCAGGCCCUGGGAGAACGAGGCUGUUUUUGCACCAACAGCUCAGGCAUCAUCAGAAACAGCCUAGCCAUGGUCCACAAGAGGUUAGAAGAAAGGGCUAAAAAGAUCAAAACUGCUAAGAAUCUUUGUUCAUUUGGUCCCCUUGGUUAAUGACUUUAAUUUCUGCCCUAACUGGUCCCCUUAUUCUUUUACUAUUUGCCCUCACCUGUGGACCUUGAAUCAUUAAUGCUUUGGUAAAACUUGUUAAGGAUCGCCUCGCUACAGUACAAUUACUGGUUCUGAAACAACAGCACCAGCCUUUGGAGCCUGCGGAUGCAUCUCAAGCAUUUGAGAUGAGGCCAUACUCAAGGGGGGAAUGAAGGGACCAAGCUGACGCCACGACAAACUAGGCCUAGGUUUCAGUUACCUGGAGAGGCAGGCAGGACUUCUGGAAAAGGCCCUGCCCUGACAUGUGGCCAUGAAGAUGGCUGCCCAGGGGCCAAGUCGGUUCCUGGAGACAUGUUCCUUUCCCACCUUUUGCAACCUUUUCGCGCCUUCUACCCCAACCAAUCAGAGAUGUACAACUGUAACUGCUGCUUGCCUAGCCAAUCAUGUUAAGGAUUACUUAACCCUCCGGGAAUUCCCCUAGUUGUGCUUCAAAGGGGCCUGCCUGCUCCUCUCCCAUGGCCAUUUUGUAUGAAUGGUUGACCCCCACAUGCUGGCUGAUUCUGCAGAAUAAACGCCCUUUGUUUUUACACAC
Jaculus jaculus (lesser Egyptian jerboa) is the source of this 3455-nucleotide long non-coding RNA. RefSeq lists it as uncharacterized. The record is from RefSeq and is a predicted model, not a curated record. Lineage: Eukaryota; Metazoa; Chordata; Mammalia; Rodentia; Dipodidae. The transcript has 5 exons.